Passer domesticus (house sparrow) is the source of this 556-nucleotide long non-coding RNA. RefSeq lists it as uncharacterized. Lineage: Eukaryota; Metazoa; Chordata; Aves; Passeriformes; Passeridae. The record is from RefSeq and is a predicted model, not a curated record. The transcript is spliced from 4 exons.
GUUCGGGUGACCCCAAAGAGCAGCAGCAGGAUGAGAGACUCCUUCCUGAUCCAGGGAAGUUCAGCUCCUGCUCUUGUGGCACAAACCCUUGUGCAGCCUGCCAGAGAACUGGGGAAGAAUCUGUGCCGGGGACAGCAGUGACUAAUUUCACGGCAAGGAGUAAACUUUUGUGUGUGAUUUUGUCUCACCACGUGCCUGGAAGUAGGUACAAAGGAAUAACAACUGAGGACCUCAGGUACAGAGACAGCUGCUGGGUGGGCCAGGUCAUGAGCUGACAUCAUCAGAGGAUUUCAUUAACCUGACCAGAAAGUAAGGAGAUAAGAGACCAGAAAUCACAUUUCCACUUGUGUUGAGAUGAGCAUUUGAAGGACAGGAUUGCUGCUGACUGCAAAUAGUGGAGCCUGCAGGACUUUUUCCAGAAACAAAUUAAAAAAUACAUUACUUUGAGUAUUAUAGCUCAUGCUUAUUUGAGGAAAGAAGAAGGUAUUUUUCGAAGACAGAAGAAGGAUGUUCUCCUGUAUUUCUAAGGAAAGUAAUAAUGAAGAUCAACACUUGA